RNAcentral lists this ribosomal RNA (1131 nucleotides) under uncultured bacterium. Its description in RNAcentral is "bacterial SSU rRNA". It matches the Rfam family "Bacterial small subunit ribosomal RNA", at positions 226 to 1378 of the family's 1533-position model. The record is from RNAcentral.
AUGACUCGCGGCCUAUCAGCUUGUUGGCGGGGUAACGGCCCACCAAGGCGACGACGGGUAGCCGGCUUAGAGGGCGACCGGCCACACUGGAACUGAGACACGGUCCAGACUCCUACGGGAGGCAGCAGUGGGGAAUAUUGCACAAUGGGCGCAAGCCUGAUGCAGCAACGCCGCGUGGGGGAUGAAGGCCUUCGGGUUGUAAACCCCUUUCAGCAGGGAAGAAGCGAAAGUGACGGUACCUGCAGAAGAAGCGCCGGCUAAAUACGUGCCAGCAGCCGCGGUAAUACGUAGGGCGCAAGCGUUGUCCGGAAUUAUUGGGCGUAAAGAGCUCGUAGGCGGUUCGUCGCGUCUGCUGUGAAAACCCGAGGCUCAACCUCGGGCCUGCAGUGGGUACGGGCGGAAUAGAGUGUGGUAGGGGAGAUCGGAAUUCCUGGUGUAGCGGUAAAAUGCGCAGAUAUCAGGAGGAACACCAAUGGCGAAGGCAGAUCUCUAGGCCACAACUGACGCUGAGGAGCGAAAGCGUGGGGAGCGAACAGGAUUAGAUACCCUGGUAGUCCACGCCGUAAACGGUGGGCACUAGAUGUGGGGACCAUUCCAUGGUUUCCGCGUCGCAGCUAACGCAUUAAGUGCCCCGCCUGGGGAGUACGGCCGCAAGGUUAAAACUCAAAGGAAUUGACGGGGCCCCGCACAAGCGGCGGAGCAUGCGGAUUAAUUUGAUGCAACGCGAAGAACCUUACCAAGGCUUGACAUAUACCGUUUAUCCCUAGAGAUAGGGAGUCCUUCGGGGCGGUAUACAGGUGGUGCAUGGUUGUCGUCAGCUCGUGUCGUGAGAUGUUGGGUUUAGUCCCGCAACGAGCGCAACCCUCGUCCUAUGUUGCCAGCACAUUAUGGUGGGAACUCAUAGGAGACUGCCGGGGUCAACUCGGAGGAAGGUGGGGAUGACGUCAAAUCAUCAUGCCCCUUAUGUCUUGGGCUUCACGCAUGAUACAAUGGCCGGUACAGAGGGCUGCGAAAUCGCAAGAUGGAGCGAAUCCCAAAAAGCCGGUCUCAGUUCGGAUUGAGGUCUGCAACUCGACUUCAUAAGUGGAGUCGCAUAGUAUGCAGAUCAGCAACGUGCGGUAAUAGUCCGGG